Molecule: long non-coding RNA, 1812 nt
Filed under: Homo sapiens (human)
Lineage: Eukaryota; Metazoa; Chordata; Mammalia; Primates; Hominidae
Description: HSALNT0399465
Source: RNAcentral
GACAUAGGCAUUGUGACAUAGCGUUAGGCUACAGUUGACUUUCUGAAGAUUCUCCAGUCGGAGGACCAUUUGCUUCGGGUGAUCCUGGAUCGUCAAGCCAUGUUGAUGUUGAUUGGAUGUCAGGAGCAGACGAUGUCCAGCACUAACAGAAUGAAUCUACCAGGAGCACAGACUUUGGGAUCACCAUUGUGUCUGUUUUAAGUGUGCGUGUGUGUGUGUGCACGUGCGCAUGCGUGCGUGUGUCUUCCAUUUUGAAACAAUAAGCUAGUGGUUUUCUAACCUGGCUUCUCAUUAGAAUUCAUGCAGAGUUUAGCUUAUAAAAAGUACACCAGUUUUGGCCCCCACCCACCAGGACUGAACUGAAGUCUCUAGUGAUUAAAACUGACAGAUAAAAUACAAGAUACUGAAUUAAAUUUGGAUUCUACAUAAACAGUGAAAAAAAAUACAAGUAUGUUCCAUAAUAUUUAGAACGUACACUUAAAAAUUAUUUUUAUCUAAAAUUUAAAUGUAUCCGGGCAUCUCAGUUUUUUGUUCUAUUUUAUUUUUGUCUUCUUCUUUCCUGUCUAGUAAAUUAACUCUACCAAGGGUCCAAAUUGGGAAUCUCUAUUUUCAGCAAUUCCCAUGCUAAUUAUAUUAAAUCUAGGUCUUUUUUUCCCAAAUUUUCUUCUUUAUUUAUUCUUCUUUUUUAAAUUCAUAUUUCAGACUUAAACCGAAGCACUAUCACACAAUAUACAUGUUUUUAAAAUUGAGGAGUUAAAUAUUUCUUAUAUAAGUAACCAUCUCAAAAGUGUAUUCAUGAUUCCAGGUAAGCGUUUUUAUUUUAAUAAAAUGCUUGUUUCAAAUGUCUUAUUAUUUACAUUGUAUCCAUCAUUGUAUUCAAAAAUAUUUCUACACUAUAUUUACUGUUACAUGAGAUCAUGGCGAUCCAGUUUGGGAUUUUUAAAUGAUAUUAAACCCCUAGUCAAGAAAAUAAGAUGAAAAGCAUGCAAGGUGGUCUUUUCCUGCAAGAUAAUAAAGUUCUAUCUUUUCUCCAGUAGAAGUAGUGCAGUUUCAAAAGUUUUAUCACAAUUAUUUAGAAUGAGGAAAAUAAUAACUAGAGCUUCUUUCAAAAUUACCCUAAAGGGGAGGAAAAAUAAAAAUCAACCCAGAGAAGAACAAAUGGGCAAUUAAGGCAAGUGCAACCAGGUCUCAGGGAGGAAUUUCUUAAUCCCCACAGCUUGUAAUCGGGGGUUAGGACCCAAGAGUGUGAAAAUUGUCAGUGCAGCAACACAAAAUCCUGGAAAGACUCAGUAGGUGCAGAGACUCGAGAUGGUAUAUGAGCAGUUGCUGAGAACCUAGAGUCUGGGAAACACAGCACAUUCCAACACAAAUCCCGGAGCCCAGGUACCAUGGGAACAGCUGAUCCUCCACAAACAUCUAUUGAUAUGUGGAGAUGAGAUGGGCCCUGACAUGCUGUCUGGAUAUUAUGAGCAAGGUGGAGGGUAACCAAGGGGACCAGGCCAACAGCAUGGAGCUGCAUAAAUCCCAGCUGUGAAUUCAAAAGGGAUGCCUAGGCUUGAAUAUUCCUUUUGCCCCCAGCUAAUGUGUGUACUGACCUCUGCUUAAAGAGCUUGGAAAUAUUUUUAAGUAAUUUGGUUCCCAUAAAUAGAAUGUCCUCUUCAGGUGUUACGUGAGGAAGAACUAAAAAUAAUUAGUGCAAAUGAUCCUCAGACCUUCCACCACCUGAAAGAGCUUUAAAAAAAAAGGGAGGUGGCGGGGAAAGGAAUAAAGUUUGGUGCUUUAAAAAGAAAAUAAAAAGUGUUUUGUACUGGA